Long non-coding RNA from Neofelis nebulosa (Clouded leopard), 6494 nucleotides. RefSeq lists it as uncharacterized. The record is from RefSeq and is a predicted model, not a curated record. NCBI's taxonomy places the organism in Eukaryota, Metazoa, Chordata, Mammalia, Carnivora, Felidae. The transcript is spliced from 3 exons.
CCUGUCCUGUUACUCUGCCUAUGUCUUCUCCCUGAGAAAACAAGUUCAGCCCAAACUUUCGCGUAAAGCUCAGAUGGAAUUCCUAAAAAACUGAGAAGAAACUGGAGGUCCAGCUUGCAUAGCAAUGUAGCCAGACCUCAGCAUCAUCACAUUAUGGAUUGCAUUCUUACCCAAAUACUCUUCGUGAUUGCCUGCUUUGCGGCUUUGGGGUAAGUCCCAGUUUUCCACAACCUUAAGGAAAAAAAAAUGCAUAACAUAAAAGAUGCCAAAAAGACUUAUGUGUCCUGAUGUGCGGGUUUUGUGAAAUAUACAUGGGUUUGUUUUUUUUUUGGGGGGGGGGGUGGCGGGGAACGAUGUUGGUAAUGAAAUAAAGAGAAGGGGUUUGUUUCUGCAAGGAUCAAGAGUGUGUGAAAGUGUGCAUUGCAAACGAGGCUCCCAUCAAGAAAGCCACCUCUGGAAUGGAAAUGACAAAGCUUGGAACACACACAAUCAAUUAUUUUCACUAGCAUUUAAAAUAUAGAAAACAAAAUCUGCUUUGGGAAUUGACUGAAUAUUUUAUUUAGCUUUUUUAUUGAGACAUCCUUUGAAAAAUGGCAUAAUAUAAAUAGUUUUACAAAGCAACAAUAUAAUCAAUCUCUAAACUAGAAUAUAAAUCAAGGAUUUCAUUAACUGCUAGUAGCCAGUUUAAAUUGUAGUCUUGUCCAUAAUGUCUAUCUAUCUAUGUAUGUCCAAGUUAUAUUAAAAACCUUUAAAUGGCUUUGUAAUAUCAGCUACAUCUAGCUAUUAUAAUAAUUAAUGGUACUGUUUUAUAAAUCAAUACAUGUAUUCUUGAUAAAUUCAUAUCCAGUUAAUGGUGUAAUUUAAAUAAAAAAUUAAUGUAAUAAAGGACAUACAGAAACAGGCAGGAAAUCUUUAAAGGUUAAGAGACAAAUUUGUCUAAAUUCAUUUUUAAGCCGUUUUGAAAAAGUUUAUACUUAAAAUCAGCUGAGAUUUACCUUGUUUCUGUAAAACUAAUUUUGCUGUGUCUGUUGGUAUCCAGUAAUGAAUCUGUGCAUUAUUUUCUUUUUUAACUGUUAAGUUUUAAUUACAUACUUGUGAUACUAUGAGAUAUGUUACUACCGUUAUACUCUUUUGCAAUUAUUGAAUAUUCUUUAAAAAAAUAGAACAAAACUAAAAAUCUCAAACCAGUAAUUUAUUUUUAAUACAUGAAUGAAAUGUAAAUGCUCUCUCUCUAUUUUUUAUAUCUAUAAGCGAACGGUUCUGAGAAUCUCCAAAGCUAUAUACAAAUUUUAUUUAAGGUGAAAAAGGACUGAUUAGUUCAAUAAAUUUGCAUGCGCAAAAGCGCAGCGUUUUUACUGCUUUCACUGAAUGAACAUCCUAGGAAUUUUAGAAAGAAAAGAAAAAUGCUUUGAAGAGUCUGAAAUGUAUUUUAACGCUGCACACGGGUGGAGAAACAUGUUACAAAGAGAAGAGUGUAUUAUUGUUCUGAUUUAAAAAAUACAUAGCAAAGGCAUCUUAAGGAAUAACAGGAUCUAGAAAAACAACUGGAUGUUGUAUGUUAUCAAAUACAAUCUUAAAUCUUUCCAAAUAAAAUUUCAUUUGGUUUAUAGAGUAAGCAUUUUACACAAGAUCUCUUUCAGAAUUAUGCAGACCAGUCUGCCCUGCCAUUCUCCGUGACAUGGUGCAGAAAUGUUACUUUAAUCCACUGAGCUUUUUCUGACAUUUUUCUUAACAUUGCUGAGCCUUAUUUAGAGCAGCAAAGGAGACGUGUGCAGUUUCCUUUGACACUGAUGGGUGUUUCAAAAUGUUACGAGAGAGAGAGAGAGAGAGAGAGACAGAGACAGAGACAGAGAGAGAGCGAGAGAGAGAAAAGAUUUGCUGCCAGUCACUGUAUCAAUAGAGCUACAGGAGCAAUUACUAUUUGUUAAAAGCUUACAUUUCAAAUGAAGCUAAAUUUUAAAGAAGCCUGCUGCUUGGAAGAGGGGGGAAGAGAAUGCACAGUAGUGAUCACAUGUUAAAGUGCGCUCAAGUACUGGAACCAUUUAAAAUGUAUUGUGUUUUUAGACGAAGCCUACAGCAAAACCACUCCUAAGAGGCUUAAUUUAGGUUUUAUAGGAGGAACAUAAAAAAGACCAGGUUACAGCAACACGCUGAAAUAUGGGGUACAUUUUAAAUAUCUUCAUUUAAAAACGUAUGUUUAUUUUCCCUCCUGGGAUCACUAACAUGUGUCUCGACAGAGAAAGCAAGGACAUGCUACAUUCUUAAAAAUUAUCUGUUAAAGGGAUCACAUUCCAAGACAGGUUUGAGCAUUUUUAUUACUACCGAUAACCUCUUAAUUAUGUCACUGCCUUCCACUUGUUAAUCAGGGACAUUCAACAUGGUUAACCAGCGAGCGGUUGCCUUUUGUCGACUUCAUUAUUAUUAGGAAUUAAAAACUCAUUCUAUUCCCAUCAUCAUGUUUUUGCAUAUAUGAUUUUAGCACUGCUAAAAACUUACCUGCUUUAAAUACAGAACACCUAAGAAAAGGUCUAGAUGCCCAUGACAAUGUUGUUAAUUACUUCUAGGUGCAGCUCAUGGAAAGCUUUAAGAGAUGGAUAAUUUUACUUUUCCUGUCUUGCCCCCCUCCCCCAGCCCCGCUGCCUCCCCCACAUCUCCCACAAUUCCUAUUUGAACCAAUUUUAGGUUCCUUGUGCAGCCACCAGCGUCUGAGAUACUCAGAGACUUUUUUUUCAGAGAGCACGGUGUAAGUGGAGUAAAUAAAAUCAUGUUUCACUGUUGCUUUAUCAACCCUCCUAGGUAGUUUUCCUGCCAGCCAACCUGCACUGUUAAGACCCAGAAAAUUAUGCAAUAGUGACUUCUUUGAGGUUCUCUAAUCAGAUGAUGGCCAGUGUUAGGAGGGGAAGGGCCCAAGGCAAUGUUGCUGGCGCUUAAUGCUGGGCUUGGUCAUUACUUGUCUGGUAGAGACCAAUAAACAGAUGAUUACUAUCCUAUAAGGAGCCAAUAUUUUACAUUUACCUUAGUUAUAUCUUUUCUUUUCAACGUCUUAUAACAGAAAGUAUUUGUCAAGAUCUAUGAGGAAUAACCUCACAGGCCCCUUAAAAAUAAGAAUUUUCCUGGCGUGAAAUGAUGCUUUUUGUGCAAUGGUGAGAAUGAUUUUGGUUUUUAUAAGAGCAGAGGUUUGAUUACUUUAAAGUAGUUCUCUUUCAGAUGUGGACAGUCCCAGACCCCAUCCCCCACUCCCAUGUCCCCCUCUCUCCUCUAUGACAGGUUCACAGGCUGCAACCAAGGGGUUUUAAAAUGCAAAUAUUUAUAUUGGAACUCUGGCAAUAACAGAGUCGUUUUGCUUCCUCUGUUAGCCUGUGAUAAUUGAUGCUUCAUACCUGGAACUACGUUUCAUUUAUCUCUUUACACAUGAAGAUAUUACAUAAAUAAAAGAUAAUUUAUGGAAAGGAAACAGCCAUUUGAAAUAAUAAUCCUAAAUUUGACUGUAUAAUCUUGAAAGGUUUUAAGAGUCAAAGAUGCAGAUUUCUACAGUUUUAAAGAAAACUUGAUCGCACCUGGGAAAUUUGUGCAUUUUUGCACACUUACUGAAUCUGAAUGCCUGCAUGGAUCAAAAACAAAAAAGAGGGAUAAAAGGAAGGCAGGAGAGAAAAGGUGUGGAUUUCACAUGUGCUUUAAACCAAUGCAUUCGCCCACACGUCCACAGACUUCUUGUUACAAUUUUAUUGACUUUUUCUUUAUAUCCAAAAAUAAUUUCUAAAUAGCUAAUGCAAAUUGCAAAAUAGUGAGUCUUCUGAAGGGCCUUUUCUUCCCGGGGAUCCUCAUCUUAGAAUGAACAGAGAUAUUCCCAGAACCGGACCCUGAUCUCACAACCUCAUACAAAGCCAGGCAAUUCUUGAGCCAAACAAACAAAGGGUGUGUAAGCGAUUUCAUUUAUUUUGAUAAUCCUCCUCUUGCACAGGAGCAUCUUGCUGUCUUUGUCAAAGUGAAUGACAACAAUUUGGCUAACUCUCUCUGAGCUGCGCUCAACAGUGACAGGCAAAUUAUCAGAGGCCCUGCACUUCUUAUUAUCAGAGGAGAAGCCAUCAGGGGGACGCAUGGAGGAUACCUCUCCCUUGUCACUAUUUGUCAGUGGGACAAGGGCCACUGCUAUGGGUAGCUGACAGGUAAUUUCAACAAUAACAAUUACUCCUAUUACUGGUGUCAUAAACAAUUCGCCCAAGGCAUGACAAUAGCAAAGCUUUAUAAUUCAAUGCCAUAUAAAUAAAUGCCAGCAGGUAACAAGUAAUUUAGCUCCAAUCAAGCUUUCACCCCGGCAUUAAUAUUGUUAUUGCAAGAAAAUAGAAAAUUGAAAAAACUCGAUAUGUUAAUGAAUUAAGAGAGGUUCAAGGGCUAGACAGAGGGGUUGAAAAAGGGAAACCAGAAUUAUUAUGGGAUCAUAUUUGGUGCCAUCCUGAGGGCCAAAGAGCAGCAUCAUUACUAUUAGAUAAGAAGGGGGACCAGAGAUGCUGUUGCCCUCCACUUCAGACCUGGGAAAAAUGUGACAUGGCCUUUCAAAACCCCCUUUCUCUGAUUUCUGAAGAAUGUAAGUAGAAAUAUGAGAACGUGCCUAUAAUGCAGCAUUUCACUGGUUUUUUUUUCUUCCCACCUGAAAUAUUUCAUAUGCAGCAGAGGCAUGAGUAUCAAAGGAACAUUUCCGCCUGUUUAAGAAAAUCGCAUCAGCACCUACUUCCUUUACAUUAAGUCUUGUAACAGAAACUGUUUUAACAAGCCUAUUUUUAUCUUUGGUGAAGGUAAUGCCGAAAACCCCUCUUUGCUCUCCAGCUGUCCACCUUUUGGAAGUAGACUAGAGGACACGGUCCAAUCUUCCUCCAUAAAACUUCCCGAUGAAACGAAUCUGCAAUUUCAGUAUUUGUCCAGCAAGACAAUGUGCCAUCAUGGUGACAGCAGUAAAAGAAUUUGAAAAUCUCUAAUUAGGAGAGCUGCGGAGCAAUUAACGCAUGUCAAAUUUUACUUCAUCAAGUGCCACUCUAAUUUUCCUCUAAAAAUUAAUGGAUUUUUUUUUUCUUUUGGUAUGUGUGUGUGUCCCCUUAAGGCAAUGUUGAUUCAAAUCUGCUCAAGAUGCAGUGUUGCACAGCUAAGCAUCUUCUUGAUUACAAUCCGCCACCCUUCUAACUGCGCUCAUUCUCACUGCCACGGAUACUUUGUCAACAGUCAAAUUACACCACGCUGAUAACAAUGCAUAAUGGUGUUCCUCCUCUGAGGCCCCUGGCAGGAGAUGGGGUUCAUAAAAAUGUGAUGUUUUCUUCUCAACUGUUUCUGAAGGAAGUUUGUAUGACCAGGUCAUAGUCAGGCGUUAAUUUUUUGAAAUUAAUUUGUUAAUUUCAAGAAAGGGAAGAUAAUGAUAGACUAUGAAAAUACCUCACUGAAAAAAAAUCAGAGGAAGAAUGAGGAAUUGAGAAUAUCUGUGGCCAAAGUUUUGCUUAAACACUUUGUUCGGAGACAUUUUCAAGAGCACUACUCUUGGUAAAAUACCAGAGUUUUUUGUUUUUUUUUUUUCUUUACUUAUGAGCUAUAAACAUUGGAAGCCUCUCUUGAACAGACAGUAUUUAGAUUGUGAGAGAAGUUUGUUUAACUGCCAUAUUUGCCAGAAUCUUCAAAACAUCACAGGACACAGAAGAUAAAUGACUCUUUUUUUUUUUUUUUUUUUUUUUUUGGGUCAGGACUGUAUCUUCCAGAUAAAUGUUGAUUCAUUUUAACUAUUUUUUUAUCCUACUUGCUUGUUGCCGAUUCGUGUGCUUGAGUCAUCAGCACAUAUGAGGAUUAUUUCUCACUGGAAAAUGAGAGAAAGAGCAACUAGAUGAUUUUACAUUCAGUGUAAAAUCAUUUAGAGAUCAGUCAGAUUUCAUAUUUCUAAAACAAUCAGAUCCAAAACAAAAAUGGGGAAAUUAAACAAAAUGCUAAAUGAAUCUCUUUGCAGAUUCUUUCAGGGAAUGGAGACCAUUCACAUGGAUUGACAUGCCAAUUUUCUCAUCGUGUAAGUAUAUUUUUGAUCGGUUUCUUUAAUCAGAUUUAUUUAGUAAAAAAAAGAAAAUCUAAAUUCAUGGUGUAUACGCUUCCUUUUUUUCUUUUAAUUCACAGGUUGAAUGUGGUCUUUUCAUUUACCUACAACUAACUCAAAAAUCUUACAUUUGAUAUUUUGAGGUUUGUAUUUCCAAAUAUUAAAAAACUCUUCCUUUCCUUAUGGCCCCUCCCAGCAUGUUCUGAAGUGGUCUCUUUCAGACAAAAGAAAAUGACAUUCCCCUUUCAACUAGCAAAUGUUGGAUUCCCUAAACCAACUGGGGGUAAACUGGAAGUUUUGCAAUUAGGUUCACACGAGCUGAAUAUGUUCAUUAUCUCCAAACAUUCUCCUUCGAACUUUACAAAUAUAACAAUACUGAGUUUAGAGUUUCCUGUGGCUUGUUUACAAAUAAAGGUAUCUUGAUAAAAACCAA